RNAcentral lists this ribosomal RNA (377 nucleotides) under uncultured eukaryote. RNAcentral describes it as "partial 18S ribosomal RNA". It matches the Rfam family "Eukaryotic small subunit ribosomal RNA", at positions 592 to 976 of the family's 1831-position model. The record is from RNAcentral.
CAAUAGCGUAUAUUUAAGUUGCUGCAGUUAAAAAGCUCGUAGUUGGAUUUCGGGUGGGAAUGGCCGGUCCGCCGUUUCGGUGUGCACUUGCUACGCCCACCUUGCUGCCGGGGACGUGCUCUUGAGUUCACGCUCGGGACACGGAGUCGGCGAGGUUACUUUGAGUAAAUUAGAGUGUUCAAAGCAGGCCUACGCUCUGAAUACAUUAGCAUGGAAUAACACGAUAGGACUCUGGCCUAUCUUGUUGGUCUGUAGGACCGGAGUAAUGAUUAAGAGGGACAGUCGGGGGCAUUCGUAUUUCAUUGUCAGAGGUGAAAUUCUUGGAUUUAUGAAAGACGAACUACUGCUAAAGCAUUUGCCAAGGAUGUUUUCAUUAA